RNAcentral lists this ribosomal RNA (383 nucleotides) under uncultured eukaryote. Its description in RNAcentral is "partial 18S ribosomal RNA". It matches the Rfam family "Eukaryotic small subunit ribosomal RNA", at positions 592 to 976 of the family's 1831-position model. The record is from RNAcentral.
CAAUAGCGUAUAUUAAAGUUGUUGCAGUUAAAAAGCUCGUAGUUGGAUUUCUGGUGGGAGCGAUCGGUCUGGCGCUUAGCGCGAGUACUUGCAUCGUCUCCGGCCAUCCUUGGGGAGAGUCUGUCUGGCAUUAGGUUGUCGGGCAGAGGGUCUUCAUCGUUUACUGUGAAAAAAUUAGAGUGUUCAAAGCAGGCUUAUGCCGUUGAAUAUAUUAGCAUGGAAUAAUAAGAUAGGACUUUGGUACUAUUUUGUUGGUUUGCGCACCAAAGUAAUGAUUAAUAGGGACAGUUGGGGGUAUUCGUAUUCCGUUGUCAGAGGUGAAAUUCUUGGAUUUACGGAAGACGAACUACUGCGAAAGCAUUUACCAAGGAUGUUUUCAUUAA